This 484-nucleotide ribosomal RNA is filed under the name uncultured bacterium. RNAcentral describes it as "partial 16S ribosomal RNA". It matches the Rfam family "Bacterial small subunit ribosomal RNA", at positions 30 to 507 of the family's 1533-position model. The record is from RNAcentral.
AUUGAACGCUGGCGGCAUGCUUUACACAUGCAAGUCGAACGGCAGCGCGGGCUUCGGCCUGGCGGCGAGUUGGGGACGGGUGGGUAAUACAUCGGAACGUGCCCAGCAGCUGGGUAUAGGUCGACGAAGGCCGGAUUAAUACCGCAUUAGACCAUACGGUGUACGGGUGGGAUCUUCGGAUCUUGGGACAUUGCACGAGUCGAUGGCGGAUUAGCGGGUUGGCGGGGUAAAGGCCUACCAAGGCGACGAUCCGUAGCUGGUCUGAGAGGAUGAGCAGCCACACUGGAACUGAGACACGGUCCAGACUCCUACGGGAGGCAGCAGUGGGGAAUAUUGGACAAAGGGCGCAAGCCUGAUCCAGCCAUACCGCGUGGGUGAAGAAGGCCUUCGGGUUGUAAAGCCCUUUUGGUGGGAAAGAAAAGCAGCAGGUUAAUACCCCGCUGUGAUGACGGUACCCAAAGAAUAAGCACCGGCUAACUUCGUG